This 461-nucleotide ribosomal RNA is filed under the name uncultured bacterium. RNAcentral's name for it is "bacterial SSU rRNA". It matches the Rfam family "Bacterial small subunit ribosomal RNA", at positions 328 to 802 of the family's 1533-position model. The record is from RNAcentral.
AUGAAACACUCCUACGGGAGGCAGCAGUGGGGAAUAUUGGACAAUGGACCAAGAGUCUGAUCCAGCAAUUCUGUGUGCACGAUGAAGUUUUUCGGAAUGUAAAGUGCUUUCAGUUGGGAAGAAAAAAAUGACGGUACCAACAGAAGAAGUGACGGCUAAAUACGUGCCAGCAGCCGCGGUAAUACGUAUGUCACAAGCGUUAUCCGGAUUUAUUGGGCGUAAAGCGCGUCUAGGUGGUUAUGUAAGUCUGAUGUGAAAAUGCAGGGCUCAACUCUGUAUUGCGUUGGAAACUGUGUAACUAGAGUACUGGAGAGGUAAGCGGAACUACAAGUGUAGAGGUGAAAUUCGUAGAUAUUUGUAGGAAUGCCGAUGGGGAAGCCAGCUUACUGGACAGAUACUGACGCUAAAGCGCGAAAGCGUGGGUAGCAAACAGGAUUAGAAACCCUAGUAGUCCGAAGUUC